GUGAAUCAUCGAAUUUUUGAACGCAUAUUGCACUAUCUGGUAUUCCGGAGAGUAUGCCUGUUUGAGGGUAAUUAAAAAGAAUCUAUAACCAAUUUUUUUUUGUCAAAGGAAAUGAGUUCUCCGCGUUUAUGGCGGUAGCUUGGAAUAAAUGGCCAAGUAUCAUCAUAUUCGAGACGCGUAAUAAUAUUAUUUUGCGAAAUCAUCAUUCU
Molecule: unclassified non-coding RNA, 209 nt
Filed under: Ambisporaceae sp.
Lineage: Eukaryota; Fungi; Glomeromycota; Glomeromycetes; Archaeosporales; Ambisporaceae
Description: partial contains 5.8S ribosomal RNA and internal transcribed spacer 2
Rfam family: 5.8S ribosomal RNA (bases 1-71)
Source: RNAcentral